This is a non-coding RNA of Picea glauca (white spruce), 771 nucleotides long. NCBI's taxonomy places the organism in Eukaryota, Viridiplantae, Streptophyta, Pinopsida, Pinales, Pinaceae. The record is from Rfam.
CAUCAGGUCUCCAAGGUGAACAACCUCUGGUCAAUAGAACAAUGUAGGUAAGGGAAGUCGGCAAAACGGAUCCGUAACUUCGGGAAAACGAUUGGCUCCGAGGGCUGGGCCUAGGGGUCUGCAUCCUCAACCCGUGGGAUGUCCGCAGUCUACCCGAGCUGCUAUCGUGGCGAGGGCAGGUAGUCGCGUGCCGAUUGGGAUACGGACCGCGGGAGAAACCACCUAAGUGCGGGGAAUUCAGGGUUUCCAAGUCCGGACCAUGGGAGAAACCGCCCAAGUUCGGGGAAUUCGGGAUUUCCGAGUCUGGACCGCGGGAGGAUCCGCCCAAGUGCACGGAAUUUAGGGUUUCCGAGUCUAGACCGCGGGAGAAACCGCCCAAGUGCAGGGAAUUCAGGGUUUUUGAGUCUCGACGAGCGGAGAAACCGCCCAAGUGCGGGGAAUUCGGGGUUUCCGAGUCUCGACGAGUAGAGAAACCGACCAAGUGCAAGGAAUUCAGGGUUUCCAAGUCUCGACGAGAGGAGAAAUCGCCCAAGAGCGGUGAAUUCUGGGUUUCCGAGCCUCGAUGAGCGGAGAAACCGCCCAAGUGUAGGGAAUUCGCGGUUUCCAAGUCUCGACCAUGGGAGAAACCACCCAAUUGCAGGGAAUUCAGGCUUUGCAUUUGGAAAACCCCAAGUUUGCCUUGCGUUUGGGAGAAACCGACCCAAGGGUUUGCAUUCGAGAAACCCCAUGUUUGCCUUGCGUUCGGGAGAAACCGGCCCAAGUGCGGGGAAU